This 683-nucleotide ribosomal RNA is filed under the name Rhizobium sp. M68C9C. Its description in RNAcentral is "bacterial SSU rRNA". It matches the Rfam family "Bacterial small subunit ribosomal RNA", at positions 56 to 788 of the family's 1533-position model. Lineage: Bacteria; Pseudomonadati; Pseudomonadota; Alphaproteobacteria; Hyphomicrobiales; Rhizobiaceae. The record is from RNAcentral.
UGCAGUCGAGCGCCUCGCAAGAGGAGCGGCAGACGGGUGAGUAACGCGUGGGAAUCUACCCAUCCCUACGGAACAACUCCGGGAAACUGGAGCUAAUACCGUAUACGCCCUUCGGGGGAAAGAUUUAUCGGGGAUGGAUGAGCCCGCGUUGGAUUAGCUAGUUGGUGGGGUAAAGGCCUACCAAGGCGACGAUCCAUAGCUGGUCUGAGAGGAUGAUCAGCCACAUUGGGACUGAGACACGGCCCAAACUCCUACGGGAGGCAGCAGUGGGGAAUAUUGGACAAUGGGCGCAAGCCUGAUCCAGCCAUGCCGCGUGAGUGAUGAAGGCCUUAGGGUUGUAAAGCUCUUUCACCGGAGAAGAUAAUGACGGUAUCCGGAGAAGAAGCCCCGGCUAACUUCGUGCCAGCAGCCGCGGUAAUACGAAGGGGGCUAGCGUUGUUCGGAAUUACUGGGCGUAAAGCGCACGUAGGCGGAUAUUUAAGUCAGGGGUGAAAUCCCAGAGCUCAACUCUGGAACUGCCUUUGAUACUGGGUAUCUUGAGUAUGGAAGAGGUUAGUGGAAUUGCGAGUGUAGAGGUGAAAUUCGUAGAUAUUCGCAGGAACACCAGUGGCGAAGGCGGCUAACUGGUCCAUAACUGACGCUGAGGUGCGAAAGCGUGGGGAGCAAACAGGAUUAGAUACCCU